UGCGCCGGAGCUACUCGUGCAGCGUUUGCAACGUAGUGCUGAACUCCAUCGAGCAGUAUCACGCUCAUCUCCAGGGCUCCAAACACCAAAACAAUUUAAAACAACAUCAGCAAUGAAGAACUGGAAAUACUGAAGCUGAAACAGGAGAAACAGAGCAUUUCAGGAAUUUACAGAACUGCACAAACUAAUUGCGAACUCAUAAGAAAAUAUGUCUUGUUUGGCCACAGGAAUUGUUCAUCUACAACAUCUGAGGUUCCUCAAAUGUCAAGUGUUUUAUAUUUUUUAUUCACAAUCAAAAGCUCAAAGAUCGAUCUACUUUGGGAAUAUCGUCCAUCCUUCCAUGAGCAUAAAGGAUGCCUAUGAUCAAUCCAGUGAUAUUCAUCAUGUAACAUGAGCGCAUCAGCCUGAACAGACAUGCAAUGGUCCUGCUACUUUUAUUUUUGCCUUUCAAACUCUUGUAUGCAGUGGC
Molecule: long non-coding RNA, 469 nt
Organism: Sinocyclocheilus grahami
Lineage: Eukaryota; Metazoa; Chordata; Actinopteri; Cypriniformes; Cyprinidae
Exons: 2
Source: RefSeq, a predicted model, not a curated record